UACUAUGAUGAUAUUGUUCACCAGCUGUUA
Molecule: non-coding RNA, 30 nt
Filed under: Rattus norvegicus (Norway rat)
Lineage: Eukaryota; Metazoa; Chordata; Mammalia; Rodentia; Muridae
Source: RNAcentral